RNAcentral lists this ribosomal RNA (253 nucleotides) under uncultured Chloroflexota bacterium. RNAcentral describes it as "uncultured Chloroflexi bacterium partial 16S ribosomal RNA". It matches the Rfam family "Bacterial small subunit ribosomal RNA", at positions 524 to 776 of the family's 1533-position model. Lineage: Bacteria; Bacillati; Chloroflexota. The record is from RNAcentral.
GACAGAGGGGGCAAGCGUUGUCCGGAUUUACUGGGCGUACAGCGCGCGCAGGCGGAUGGGUAUGUGCCCUGUGACAUCUGGACGCUCAACGUCCAGCGGUCAGGGUACACAGCCGAUCUGGAGGCAUGGAGAGGGCAGUGGAAUACCCGGUGGAGCGGUGAAAUGCGUAGAGAUCGGGUGGAACACCAGUGGGGCAGCCGGCUGCCUGGCCAUGACCUGACGCUGAGGCGCGAUAGCGUGGGGAGCAAACGGG